UCCUUGGUGGCUUAGAGGUAAAGAAUCUGCCUGCCAUGCAGGGGACCCAGGUUCAAUCCCUGGGUCAGGAA
This is a transfer RNA of Ovis aries (sheep), 71 nucleotides long. It matches the Rfam family "tRNA". From Rfam's summary of the family: Transfer RNA (tRNA) molecules are approximately 80 nucleotides in length. Their secondary structure includes four short double-helical elements and three loops (D, anti-codon, and T loops). Lineage: Eukaryota; Metazoa; Chordata; Mammalia; Artiodactyla; Bovidae. The record is from Rfam.